RNAcentral lists this ribosomal RNA (497 nucleotides) under uncultured bacterium. RNAcentral's name for it is "partial 16S ribosomal RNA". It matches the Rfam family "Bacterial small subunit ribosomal RNA", at positions 28 to 507 of the family's 1533-position model. The record is from RNAcentral.
GACGAACGCUGGCGGCGUGCCUAAUACAUGCAAGUUGAGCGCUGAAGGUUGGUACUUGUACCGACUGGAUGAGCAGCGAACGGGUGAGUAACGCGUGGGGAAUCUGCCUUUGGGCGGGGGACAACAUUUGGAAACGAAUGCUAAUACCGCAUAAAAACUUUAAACACAAGUUUUAAGUUUGAAAGAUGCAAUUGCAUCACUCAAAGAUGAUCCCGCGUUGUAUUAGCUAGUUGGUGAGGUAAAGGCUCACCAAGGCGAUGAUACAUAGCCGACCUGAGAGGGUGGUCGGCCACAUUGGGACUGAGACACGGCCCAAACUCCUACGGGAGGCAGCAGGAGGGAAUCUUCGGCAAUGGACGAAAGUCUGACCGAGCAACGCCGCGUGAGUGAAGAAGGUUUUCGGAUCGUAAAACUCUGUUGGUAGAGAAGAACGUUGGUGAGAGUGGAAAGCUCAUCAAGUGACGGUAACUACCCAGAAAGGGACGGCUAACUACGUG